Molecule: ribosomal RNA, 396 nt
Filed under: uncultured bacterium
Lineage: Bacteria
Description: bacterial SSU rRNA
Rfam family: Bacterial small subunit ribosomal RNA
Source: RNAcentral
GGAAUAUUGGACAAUGGGGGUAACCCUGAUCUAGCCAUGCCGCGUGAGUGACGAAGGCCCUAGGGUCGUAAAGCUCUUUUGCCGGGGAAGAUAAUGACGGUACCCGGUAAAGAAGUCCCGGCUAACUCCGUGCCAGCAGCCGCGGUAAUACGGAGGGGACUAGCGUUGUUCGGAAUUACUGGGCGUAAAGCGCACGUAGGCGGAUUAGUCAGUCAGAGGUGAAAUCCCAGGGCUCAACCCUGGAACUGCCUUUGAUACUGCUAGUCUAGAGUUCGAGAGAGGUGAGUGGAAUUCCGAGUGUAGAGGUGAAAUUCGUAGAUAUUCGGAGGAACACCGGUGGCGAAGGCGGCUCACUGGCUCGAUACUGACGCUGAGGUGCGAAAGCGUGGGGAGCAA